Molecule: long non-coding RNA, 852 nt
Filed under: Linum usitatissimum (flax)
Lineage: Eukaryota; Viridiplantae; Streptophyta; Magnoliopsida; Malpighiales; Linaceae
Description: long non-coding RNA (LUSI_LNC004727)
Source: RNAcentral
AAACCCCGAUCUGUGGAGUUACGAUCUGAGUUUUUUGUUUUUAUGUUCUUUUCCUGAUUCAUGUUGUCUUGAUGUUGGUUUAUGUUUUCAAUAGAGAUGGGGAUCGACGGAGUCGGAGAGGCCGAAAAAGUUUCCGUCAAAGACGGACUCGCCGGAGCACAAGACGAGAAAGGUAAAGGUUAAACCCUUCACUAAUUCUGAUUUUACUUGGUCGAUGAAAGUAGUUCUGUUUGAUUAGGUUGCUUGAACUAAAAUCUGGACUAUUUUGUUGUUAUGAUGAGUUUAGAAAUCUGAAGACUAUUUUGUUGUUAUGAUGAGUUUUAGAAAUCUGAACUUUUUUAAAAAUUACUCAUUUUUUUGAAAUGUUAUCAUUUAGUGUCAUCCUUGAUAAAAUUUCAGCAACUUGUUAAGUUUUGAAUCUUAUUUAGGGGUUUGCUAAGACGCUUACCGACAUGAAACGUUUCCUUGAUUAGUUAUAAUGAAUAUUCGAGGAUGAUGUUUAAGAGAGUAUAAGUGCUACCAAAUGUAUGUAUGAAUAUUGUAUGAAUGCUUUUGAAUAGGAAUGUUUGGAUUAUUACCUUUGAAUCGAAGCUUCUUUUUUUUGUCGUGUUUCAGGUUGUAGCCCCUUGCGAAUGACGACAAAGUGAAUGUCGGUAGAACCGGUGGUACUUAGUUUAGCUCGUUCUUGUAACUUGUUGUAAUAAUUUUUUCUUUAUUUUGGACUGGGACUUAGGGUGCCGAAAAUUUUCCGCCCAAAAAAAACCUCCCUCCCUCCUUGUAUUUCUCCACUUGCUUGUCCAUUUAAAUGAAGAAAAGGGGCUGCCACCUCCCCUCUCCUCCAAUGAAACUUUG